UACGGAGAGUGCAAACGUUGUUCGGAAUCAUUGGGCGUAAAGCGCGCGUAGGCGGUCUGGAAGGUCGGGUGUGAAAUCCCAGGGCUCAACCCUGGACGUGCGCUCGAAACCGUCAGACUUGAGUCCCUGAGGGAGAAGUGGAAUUCCUGGUGUAGGGGUGAAAUCCGUAGAUAUCAGGAGGAACACCGGUGGCGAAGGCGACUUCUUGGCAGGGCACUGACGCUGAGGCGCGAAAGCGUGGGUAGCAAACAGG
This 253-nucleotide ribosomal RNA is filed under the name uncultured bacterium. RNAcentral's name for it is "partial 16S ribosomal RNA". It matches the Rfam family "Bacterial small subunit ribosomal RNA", at positions 524 to 776 of the family's 1533-position model. The record is from RNAcentral.